This 1029-nucleotide ribosomal RNA is filed under the name uncultured organism. Its description in RNAcentral is "bacterial SSU rRNA". It matches the Rfam family "Bacterial small subunit ribosomal RNA", at positions 243 to 1275 of the family's 1533-position model. The record is from RNAcentral.
AGCUUGUUGGUGAGGUAACAGCUCACCAAGGCUACGAUGUCUAGGGGGUCUGAGAGGAUGGUCCCCCACACUGGUACUGAGACACGGACCAGACUCCUACGGGAGGCAGCAGUGAGGAAUAUUGGUCAAUGGGCGAAAGCCUGAACCAGCCAUGCCGCGUGAAGGAUGACAGCCCUAUGGGUUGUAAACUUCUUUUGUACGGGAAGAAACGCUUCUACGUGUAGAGGUUUGACGGUACCGUACGAAUAAGCAUCGGCUAACUCCGUGCCAGCAGCCGCGGUAAUACGGAGGAUGCAAGCGUUAUCCGGAUUUAUUGGGUUUAAAGGGUACGUAGGCGGGAGCUUAAGUCAGUGGUGAAAUCCUGCAGCUUAACUGUAGAACUGUCAUUGAUACUGGGCUUCUUGAAUGUAGUUGAGGUAGGCGGAAUGUGUAAUGUAGCGGUGAAAUGCUUAGAUAUUACACAGAACACCGAUUGCGAAGGCAGCUUACUAAACUACGAUUGACGCUGAGGUACGAAAGCGUGGGGAGCGAACAGGAUUAGAUACCCUGGUAGUCCACGCUGUAAACGAUGAUCACUCGUUGUUGGCAAUACACCGUCAGCGACUGAGCGAAAGCAUUAAGUGAUCCACCUGGGGAGUACAACCGCAAGGUUGAAACUCAAAGGAAUUGACGGGGGCCCGCACAAGCGGAGGAACAUGUGGUUUAAUUCGAUGAUACGCGAGGAACCUUACCUGGGCUUAAAUGUAGAACGACGGACCGGGAAACUGGUCUUUCUUCGGACGGUCUGCAAGGUGCUGCAUGGCUGUCGUCAGCUCGUGCCGUGAGGUGUCGGGUUAAGUCCCAUAACGAGCGCAACCCUCAUCAUUAGUUGCCAGCGGGUAAUGCCGGGGACUCUCCCGAAACUGCCGGUGUAAACCGAGAGGAAGGUGGGGAUGACGUCAAGUCAGCACGGCCCUUAUGUCCAGGGCUACACACGUGUUACAAUGGUCGGUACAAAGGGCAGCUACCUGGCGACAGGAUGCUAAUCUC